GAAAAAAAAACAGGCACACGAGACCAGCUCGGUCCGAUGCACUCGCCGCCGCCUCGAUUCCGGCCAUCGCCGGCCAUAUCCGCCUCCGCUGCUUGCCGGAGAGGCUCCGCCUUGGUCUCCUCCUCCGGUUCCCCUGCACCAGGACGGAUGCCCGCGUACGCACGCGCAACCGCGCGAAACCCUAGCUCCUGCUUCGGUCUCGGUCGCCGGCUUGGUUCCGGCGCCACCACGCCUUGGGCUGCACUCCCCUAUCCCCUGUGCCUCCUCUACGAUCUCCCGAGGUCCUGCUCUACUACAUCGACACCGACGGCCACCUCCUGGUUCCCCGCGUGACCGCGUCGACCUCGCCAUUCGGUGGCGAGGCAAGCGCAGCCUCAAGUGUGGCCGCUGAUGGUGCCUCUGCUGGUUUUUCCACGCAUACCUUGACUGGCAUCCGACGACGGGACCAAGAAGAGGAGACGAGAUGGUUAAGAAGUGCCCCGGCUGAAAGUGACGGAGGAGAGGAUGCCGGCGGCAGCAACAAGUUGAAUCAUCUUGGUCUGGCCCUGAUGCCCUGAUGGUGAUAUCCGGUGUCAGUCCACCCGCGGGGCUUCGAAUUGAAGCAACCAAGGUUAGAAGAGAUGGGAGAUGGGGCUCACGAACGAAGGUGGGGGCAGGCAGUGGUGGAGGUUAGAAAAGAUGGCAGAUGGGGGAAGGAAGUGAUGCAGGUUGGACAUGGCUGGUGUGCGGUGACAGUGGAGAAGAAUGGGGAGGAUUUUGUAAUCUUCAGAUUUGUAUGCCAAUGUUAGCCGCAGUCUUCAGAUUUUGUAGACAACGUGACAUUAAACAACUCAUGAUUUGAUCAAAGCUAUGUAUGCACAAGGGUUAGGAUAGAGUAGACAAAGCCACUAAGCUGUUAAACAAUUGUUGGUGGGAAUUUACCCCAAGUAAUCCCUGGUA
This is a long non-coding RNA of Lolium rigidum, 939 nucleotides long. RefSeq lists it as uncharacterized. Lineage: Eukaryota; Viridiplantae; Streptophyta; Magnoliopsida; Poales; Poaceae. The record is from RefSeq and is a predicted model, not a curated record. The transcript is spliced from 2 exons.